ACCGUGAGGGAAAGGCGAAAAGAACCCCGGCGAGGGGAGUGAAAAAGAACCUGAAACCGUGUACGUACAAGCAGUGGGAGCACGCUUAGGCGUGUGACUGCGUACCUUUUGUAUAAUGGGUCAGCGACUUAUAUUCUGUAGCAAGGUUAACCGAAUAGGGGAGCCGAAGGGAAACCGAGUCUUAACUGGGCGUUAAGUUGCAGGGUAUAGACCCGAAACCCGGUGAUCUAGCCAUGGGCAGGUUGAAGGUUGGGUAACACUAACUGGAGGACCGAACCGACUAAUGUUGAAAAAUUAGCGGAUGACUUGUGGCUGGGGGUGAAAGGCCAAUCAAACCGGGAGAUAGCUGGUUCUCCCCGAAAGCUAUUUAGGUAGCGCCUCGUGAAUUCAUCUCCGGGGGUAGAGCACUGUUUCGGCAAGGGGGUCAUCCCGACUUACCAACCCGAUGCAAACUGCGAAUACCGGAGAAUGUUAUCACGGGAGACACACGGCGGGUGCUAACGUCCGUCGUGAAGAGGGAAACAACCCAGACCGCCAGCUAAGGUCCCAAAGUCAUGGUUAAGUGGGAAACGAUGUGGGAAGGCCCAGACAGCCAGGAUGUUGGCUUAGAAGCAGCCAUCAUUUAAAGAAAGCGUAAUAGCUCACUGGUCGAGUCGGCCUGCGCGGAAGAUGUAACGGGGCUAAACCAUG
Molecule: ribosomal RNA, 690 nt
Filed under: Escherichia coli
Lineage: Bacteria; Pseudomonadati; Pseudomonadota; Gammaproteobacteria; Enterobacterales; Enterobacteriaceae
Description: partial 23S ribosomal RNA
Rfam family: Bacterial large subunit ribosomal RNA
Source: RNAcentral